CCUACGGGGGGCAGCAGUGGGGAAUAUUGGACAAUGGGGGCAACCCUGAUCCAGCCAUGCCGCGUGUGUGAAGAAGGCCCUCGGGUUGUAAAGCACUUUCAGUGAGGAAGAACGCCUGGUGGUUAAUACCCAUCAGGAAAGACAUCACUCACAGAAGAAGCACCGGCUAACUCCGUGCCAGCAGCCGCGGUAAUACGGAGGGUGCGAGCGUUAAUCGGAAUUACUGGGCGUAAAGCGCGCGUAGGUGGCUUGAUAAGCCGGUUGUGAAAGCCCCGGGCUCAACCUGGGAACGGCAUCCGGAACUGUCAAGCUAGAGUGCAGGAGAGGAAGGUAGAAUUCCCGGGGGAGCGGUGAAAUGCGUAGAGGUCGGGAGGAAUACCAGUGGCGAAGGCGGCCUUCUGGACUGACACUGACACUGAGGUGCGAAAGCGUGGGUAGCAAACAGGAUUAGAUACCCCAGUAGUC
This 465-nucleotide ribosomal RNA is filed under the name Vreelandella stevensii. RNAcentral describes it as "partial 16S ribosomal RNA". It matches the Rfam family "Bacterial small subunit ribosomal RNA", at positions 338 to 795 of the family's 1533-position model. The record is from RNAcentral. Lineage: Bacteria; Pseudomonadati; Pseudomonadota; Gammaproteobacteria; Oceanospirillales; Halomonadaceae.